This 253-nucleotide ribosomal RNA is filed under the name uncultured bacterium. RNAcentral describes it as "partial 16S ribosomal RNA". It matches the Rfam family "Bacterial small subunit ribosomal RNA", at positions 524 to 776 of the family's 1533-position model. The record is from RNAcentral.
UACGUAGGGUGCGAGCGUUAAUCGGAAUUACUGGGCGUAAAGGGCGCGUAGGCGGCCAUCUAAGUCAGACGUGAAAUCCCCCGGCUUAACCUGGGAACUGCGUCUGAUACUGGACGGCUUGAGUAUGGGAGAGGGAUGUAGAAUUCCAGGUGUAGCGGUGAAAUGCGUAGAUAUCUGGAGGAAUACCGGUGGCGAAGGCGGCAUGCUGGACCAUUACUGACGCUGAGGCGCGAAAGCUAGGGGAGCAAACGGG